RNAcentral lists this ribosomal RNA (421 nucleotides) under uncultured Glomeromycotina. RNAcentral describes it as "SSU rRNA". It matches the Rfam family "Eukaryotic small subunit ribosomal RNA", at positions 569 to 994 of the family's 1831-position model. The record is from RNAcentral. Lineage: Eukaryota; Fungi; Glomeromycota.
AGCAGCCGCGGUAAUUCCAGCUCCAAUAGCGUAUAUUAAAGUUGUUGCAGUUAAAAAGCUCGUAGUUGAAUUUCGGGGUUAGUAGGUUGGUCAUGCCUCUGGUAUGUACUGGUCUCACUGAUUCCUCCUUCCUGAUGAGCCGUAAUGCCAUUAAUUUGGUGUUGCGGGGAAUUUGGACUGUUACUUUGAAAAAAUUAGAGUGUUUAAAGCAAGCUAACGCUUGAAUACAUUAGCAUGGAAUAAUGAAAUAGGACGUUCGAUCCUAUUUUGUUGGUUUCUAGGAUUGACGUAAUGAUUAAUAGGGAUAGUUGGGGGCAUUAGUAUUCAAUUGUCAGAGGUGAAAUUCUUGGAUUUAUUGAAGACUAAACUACUGCGAAAGCAUUUGCCAAGGAUGUUUUCAUUAUCAAGAACGAAAGUUAGG